UGGCAGCCCAGCUCGGUGUCCCUGUAACCC
This 30-nucleotide non-coding RNA is filed under the name Homo sapiens (human). The record is from RNAcentral. Lineage: Eukaryota; Metazoa; Chordata; Mammalia; Primates; Hominidae.